UUGUCAUGCCAAUGGCACUGCCCGGUAGCUAAAUGCGGAAGAGAUAAGUGCUGAAAGCAUCUAAGCACGAAACUUGCCCCGAGAUGAGUUCUCCCUGACUCCUUGAGAGUCCUGAAGGAACGUUGAAGACGACGACGUUGAUAGGCCGGGUGUGUAAGCGCAGCGAUGCGUUGAGCUAACCGGUACUAAUGAACCGUGAGGCUUAACCUUACAACGCCGAAG
RNAcentral lists this ribosomal RNA (222 nucleotides) under Escherichia coli. Its description in RNAcentral is "partial 23S ribosomal RNA". It matches the Rfam family "Bacterial large subunit ribosomal RNA", at positions 2721 to 2925 of the family's 2925-position model. Lineage: Bacteria; Pseudomonadati; Pseudomonadota; Gammaproteobacteria; Enterobacterales; Enterobacteriaceae. The record is from RNAcentral.